Long non-coding RNA from Lemur catta (Ring-tailed lemur), 780 nucleotides. RefSeq lists it as uncharacterized. NCBI's taxonomy places the organism in Eukaryota, Metazoa, Chordata, Mammalia, Primates, Lemuridae. The record is from RefSeq and is a predicted model, not a curated record. The transcript is spliced from 3 exons.
UCAAAAUAUUUUUUAGCUACUUUUGUCAAAAAGCUAAAUAUUUUGUAAGGUCUCAAUAUGCAUGUCGGCCCUCUCUUUAUCACGCUGUAACACACCAUCUCUUGGGUUUUGCCGUGACAGUAGGUAACAAGGCUUCCAGGCUCUCUUCAACGCCUCCAAGCUCCCCUUUCUCCAAACACAAAAGGAAGAUGAAAACUACAAAUCCCCAUCUGCCCACCCUGCAGUUCCUGGGAAGAGACCGUCCUCAAAUUGUUCCUGCUUAGACCCCUGAAGCCUGGAGAAGGAGAUGGGGACAGGUGUGGCAGCGGAACUGCAAAGAAAUGUCAAGCACAUGACCGCAGCUAGACAAUCCAAGGCAAGAUGAAUGUCAGAAGAUUUUGGCUUCCUGGAAAAAACUCACCAUGGACUUUGGUUAUUCAGAAUUAGCUACUUCUUCUGUAAGGCUAUCAGUAUUCUGGAUUAACAGAAGAAAAUAGCCACCCGACCUCCAGAUGAUUUUCCACCUGUGCCUGGCAAGACUGGGGAAAACCCUGGGGCUACACUCGGGUGUCUGAUGACUGAGGGUUUCACAGAAGAGGCCUCUCCUGACUCAGCUUGGAGGGACUCGUCUGUUAGGAACAGCGUGAGCCUAGGAAACCUUCACCACGAACUUUGUGUUAGAUCAUGAGCCCCAGCAUUUGGGAACAACUGAAACAUAUCUCUAAAUCUUACAGAUUAUAAUACUGUUUAAAAUCUAGGCCUUAAAAAUACAGUAAACAUUAAAGCUUCUGGGAUUCCUAA